RNAcentral lists this ribosomal RNA (466 nucleotides) under uncultured bacterium. RNAcentral describes it as "partial 16S ribosomal RNA". It matches the Rfam family "Bacterial small subunit ribosomal RNA", at positions 28 to 507 of the family's 1533-position model. The record is from RNAcentral.
GAUGAACGCUGGCGGCGUGCUUAACACAUGCAAGUCGAACGAUGAAGCCCAGCUUGCUGGGUGGAUUAGUGGCGAACGGGUGAGUAACACGUGAGUAACCUGCCCUUAACUCUGGGAUAAGCCUGGGAAACUGGGUCUAAUACCGGAUAGGAGCGCCUACCGCAUGGUGGGUGUUGGAAAGAUUUAUCGGUUUUGGAUGGACUCGCGGCCUAUCAGCUUGUUGGUGAGGUAAUGGCUCACCAAGGCGACGACGGGUAGCCGGCCUGAGAGGGUGACCGGCCACACUGGGACUGAGACACGGCCCAGACUCCUACGGGAGGCAGCAGUGGGGAAUAUUGCACAAUGGGCGAAAGCCUGAUGCAGCGACGCCGCGUGAGGGAUGACGGCAUUCGGGUUGUAAACCUCUUUCAGUAGGGAAGAAGCGAAAGUGACGGUACCUGCAGAAGAAGCACCGGCUAACUACGUG